GGAGGGCCAUAGCUCAGUGGUAGAGCAUCAGCCUUGCAUGCAGAAAGUCCCAGGUUCAAUCCCCGGCAUCUCCA
This 74-nucleotide transfer RNA is filed under the name Podarcis lilfordi (Lilford's wall lizard). Its description in RNAcentral is "tRNA.Ala". It matches the Rfam family "tRNA". From Rfam's summary of the family: Transfer RNA (tRNA) molecules are approximately 80 nucleotides in length. The record is from RNAcentral. Lineage: Eukaryota; Metazoa; Chordata; Lepidosauria; Squamata; Lacertidae.